Molecule: transfer RNA, 85 nt
Filed under: bovine gut metagenome
Rfam family: tRNA
About the family: Transfer RNA (tRNA) molecules are approximately 80 nucleotides in length. Their secondary structure includes four short double-helical elements and three loops (D, anti-codon, and T loops).
Source: RNAcentral
GAAGGGUGGCCGAGUGGUUUAAGGCGUCAGUCUUGAAAACUGAUAUAGGGGCAACUCUAUCGAGGGUUCGAAUCCCUCCCCUUCC